CUGGAGCGCUUAGAAGUGAGAAUGCCGGUAUGAGUAGCGAAAGACAGGUGAGAAUCCUGUCCACCGAAUGACUAAGGUUUCCUGGGGAAGGCUCGUCCGCCCAGGGUUAGUCGGGACCUAAGCCGAGGCCGACAGGCGUAGGCGAUGGAUAACAGGUUGAUAUUCCUGUACCCGUUGUUUUUGUUUGAGCAAUGGAGGGACGCAGGAGGCUAAGGAAUGCAGACGAUCGGAAAUGUCUGUCCAAGCAGUAAGUCUGAAGAGGAGUCAAAUGCUUCUUUUCUUAAGGACAAGCUGUGAUGGGGAGGGAAAUAAUAGUACCGAAGUUCCUGAUGUCACACUGCCGAGAAAAGCUUCUAGUGAGAAAACAGCGGCCCGUACCGCAAACCGACACAGGUAGUCGAGGAGAGAAUCCUAAGGUGAGCGAGAGAACUCUCGUUAAGGAACUCGGCAAAAUGACCCCGUAACUUCGGGAGAAGGGGUGCUGAUCAUACGAUCAGCCGCAGUGAAUAGGCCCAAGCGACUGUUUAUCAAAAACACAGGUCUCUGCAAAAUCGUAAGAUGAAGUAUAGGGGCUGACGCCUGCCCGGUGCUGGAAGGUUAAGAGGAGUGCUUAGCGCAAGCGAAGGUACGAAUUGAAGCCCC
RNAcentral lists this ribosomal RNA (642 nucleotides) under Shigella flexneri. RNAcentral's name for it is "partial 23S ribosomal RNA". It matches the Rfam family "Bacterial large subunit ribosomal RNA", at positions 1273 to 1921 of the family's 2925-position model. The record is from RNAcentral. Lineage: Bacteria; Pseudomonadati; Pseudomonadota; Gammaproteobacteria; Enterobacterales; Enterobacteriaceae.